This 348-nucleotide ribosomal RNA is filed under the name Salmonella enterica. RNAcentral describes it as "bacterial SSU rRNA". It matches the Rfam family "Bacterial small subunit ribosomal RNA", at positions 623 to 970 of the family's 1533-position model. The record is from RNAcentral. Lineage: Bacteria; Pseudomonadati; Pseudomonadota; Gammaproteobacteria; Enterobacterales; Enterobacteriaceae. RNAcentral also lists the same sequence under 5 other names.
GCAUUCGAAACUGGCAGGCUUGAGUCUUGUAGAGGGGGGUAGAAUUCCAGGUGUAGCGGUGAAAUGCGUAGAGAUCUGGAGGAAUACCGGUGGCGAAGGCGGCCCCCUGGACAAAGACUGACGCUCAGGUGCGAAAGCGUGGGGAGCAAACAGGAUUAGAUACCCUGGUAGUCCACGCCGUAAACGAUGUCUACUUGGAGGUUGUGCCCUUGAGGCGUGGCUUCCGGAGCUAACGCGUUAAGUAGACCGCCUGGGGAGUACGGCCGCAAGGUUAAAACUCAAAUGAAUUGACGGGGGCCCGCACAAGCGGUGGAGCAUGUGGUUUAAUUCGAUGCAACGCGAAGAACC